AGCAGGUUAAUCUAUUUAAGAUGUUGGAUUUCAAAUCCAGAAAUGGGGGUAAUAAGCCCCUGCUUGCUG
Molecule: transfer RNA, 69 nt
Filed under: Vasticardium flavum
Lineage: Eukaryota; Metazoa; Mollusca; Bivalvia; Cardiida; Cardiidae
Description: tRNA-Trp
Rfam family: tRNA
About the family: Transfer RNA (tRNA) molecules are approximately 80 nucleotides in length.
Source: RNAcentral